RNAcentral lists this long non-coding RNA (1422 nucleotides) under Homo sapiens (human). RNAcentral's name for it is "HSALNT0006961". The record is from RNAcentral. Lineage: Eukaryota; Metazoa; Chordata; Mammalia; Primates; Hominidae.
UAAACACUGCACCCAUGCCUGACGCCACUUCCUCCACAGACCUUCCUGCUCCCACCCAGAGGGGCUAAGGUCCCCUCAUCUGUGCCCUGACUUUUCUCUGCACAUCUCUCUCGCCAUCUUAAUGACAUGAGGUAGAAUCAUCUCUUUGUGUCUGCUGUCGCCUGCCAGGACACUGAAAGCGGGGACGUGCUUUUUCAUUUCUGCAUCUUCCGUGCCCAGCACAAGGCUGGACAUCAUGUGUUUACCACACAAGCCGCGGGAGGUGCACAGAUGCAUGGGGCGAGGAGCUGGUGGGCAGUCUGUGGGUGGUAAAGGGCCAGCUGGGGGUGUGGAAGGAAGGGCUGCGGGUCAGCAGAGACACUAAGGGCAGGUGGGAAGUGGACGGACGGACGAACGGACGAACGGAUGGACGAACAGUGGCAUACAGGGCGAGUGGGUGGGCAGAUGCAUGUGUUGAGGGUGGGCACCUGGCCUGAUGCGGUGCAGGCGGCUGCGAGGUGGGAGGAGGCCAGAUGAGGAGGGCUGGCUUACCUUCUUACGCACCUGCUGCUCUUUGGCUGAAUGGGCCUUGACGUGCUUGCGGAGGGAGCUGGGGUCUGUGUAGCGCUUGGAGCAGCCAGGGAUCUGACAGGCGUACGGCUUCUGUAACAUGGGGGGCACGGGUGGGGUGAGUGAGGCCCAUCCCUACGGGACACGCGCCUCCGCGUGACCUGCUGUGGGGAGGUGACCAGGCGAGAGGCUGGCUGCAGGCCAAGAGUACUCUGCCUCAGCCAGCCCGGCCCAGCUGUGGGGAAGGUGCCUGGCCUGGGAGCGGAGCAAGGGGUUUGUGUCUUCAUUCCACCACCAUCCUGGGACCUCAGGCUUCCACAGGACCCUGCUUGAGGACUCUGGCCGCUGCUGGGGCUUGAAGCUUACAAGGCUUCCCUUUGCGGACACGUCUAGUGCUUCCGCUCUCUUAGAAGCCUCUGCCCUGCUGGGACUGCAGGGGACAGGAGAAGGAUUGGAGGAAAUGACACCUCUCAGAGUGAGUGCCAGGGACUGCCAUGUCCUGCCAGACACACCCACGUGGAACUGCCCCCAGGACCUCAAGGCAGCUUUGCCCCUGCUGGACUAAGGAGAGGCCAGGCCAACCUCAGACCCAGGGAGAGGUACCCAUGGCCCUGGGACCUCAUGAGGAGGGGAAGCAGAAAGAGACGACCAUACCUUGGUGCUGCCAUGGAGAGUUGCCAGAUUAAAGAAACGGAGGAGAGCAAAAAGAGAGAGACAGCAGUGAGAAGCUUGCCGGGGUUGGCCUGGGAGGGAGAGCGGAGGCCUGCCGCGGAUGGCCCCUGCUGCCCCCAGCCCACCGCACCCCAGAGUUUGUGGACUUCAGGUUUGGACCUGACAUAAGUGAAACAGAGAGCACUAGCAGUCCUCCCUCAC